Non-coding RNA from Carassius gibelio (silver crucian carp), 836 nucleotides. The record is from the annotation of a RefSeq genome assembly. NCBI's taxonomy places the organism in Eukaryota, Metazoa, Chordata, Actinopteri, Cypriniformes, Cyprinidae.
UUACGUAACACAGAGACAGGAUGUAAUCGCAAGGCGUGUUUAUUGACAAAUGACACAAAAGUCAGAUAAGCACGACAAGUUCACAGGGAAACACAGGUGGGCGGACACAAGGCUGAUGGCACGUUGACACAGGGAACUCGGUGGACAACAGAUGAUGGUGCUUGCUCCAGUGAAGAUCCCUCGAAUCCCGAGUAUUUACAUACAGAGACACUUUGCAUGAGAGUGUUUAUAGAGCUGUGAGUUUAACACUUCAUGACUGAGAGCAGAACAUAACACAAUCUUCAUCAUCACACUAGACACAACAACAACAAUGAACAACAUCCUCAUCCUCAUCUGGACUCUGAUGCUCUGCAUUCACGAGAUCUGGGGACAAGUGACUGUGACUCAGAAUCCAGCAAUAAAAUCCAUCAAUCAAGGAGAAACUGUUACGAUCAACUGUAAAACCAGUCAGACACUUACUGGCUGUGGUAGCUGUGUGUCUUGGUAUCAGCAGAAACCUGGAGAAGCUCCUAAACUCCUCAUAUAUCAGAUAUCAAACCGUUACACUGGAACUCCUUCUAGAUUCAGUGGCAGUGGAUCUGGCAGUGAUUUCUCUCUGACCAUCAGUGGAGUCCAGACUGAAGAUACAGGAGACUAUUACUGUAUGAGUGAACACUGUCCUAGUAGCUGUGUGUUCACACAGUGAUAAAGAGUCGUACAAAAACCUCCGUCAGUCAGAGUCACAGUGACUGCACUGAUACAGCUGAGAGACACUGCAGCUUGAGGAGAUACAGUUUGUAACAAACAGCAGUUUCAUCACAAUACAAUAUAACAUUGAUUCUUGUUUUUUUUAUGAU